GAUGAACGCUGGCGGCGUGCCUAAUACAUGCAAGUCGAGCGAACAGACGAGAAGCUUGCUUCUCUGACGUUAGCGGCGGACGGGUGAGUAACACGUGGAUAACCUACCUAUAAGACUGGGAUAACUUCGGGAAACCGUAGCUAAUACCGGAUAAUAUUUUGAACCGCAUGGUUCAAUAGUGAAAGACGGUCUUGCUGUCACUUAUAGAUGGAUCCGCGCUGCAUUAGCUAGUUGGUAAGGUAACGGCUUACCAAGGCAACGAUGCGUAGCCGACCUGAGAGGGUGAUCGGCCACACUGGAACGGAGACACGGUCCAGACUCCUACGGGAGGCAGCAGUAGGGAAUCUUCCGCAAUGGGCGAAAGCCUGACGGAGCAACGCCGCGUGAGUGAUGAAGGUCUUCGGAUCGUAAAACUCUGUUAUUAGGGAAGAACAUAUGUGUAAGUAACUGUGCACAUCUUGACGGUACCUAAUCAGAAAGCCACGGCUAACUACGUG
Molecule: ribosomal RNA, 497 nt
Filed under: uncultured bacterium
Lineage: Bacteria
Description: partial 16S ribosomal RNA
Rfam family: Bacterial small subunit ribosomal RNA
Source: RNAcentral